This is a long non-coding RNA of Xenia sp. Carnegie-2017, 383 nucleotides long. RefSeq lists it as uncharacterized. Lineage: Eukaryota; Metazoa; Cnidaria; Anthozoa; Malacalcyonacea; Xeniidae. The record is from RefSeq and is a predicted model, not a curated record. The transcript has 3 exons.
UUCUACACAAGCGUUGACAAUGGAGAUUCAAAUGAGCAGAUAUGUCAGUCCUGUCAAUCCUGCAGUAUUCCCUCAUUUAACUCUGGUCCUGAUGUCCAUAGGAUUAUUUUUUACAGCUUGGUUCUUUGUAUAUGAAGUAACUUCAAGUAAAUUCACUCGAGAUAUUUACAAAGAAUUGUUGGUCGCUUUGGUUGCAUCGCUCUUCUUAGGAUUUGGAAUACUGUUUCUCCUUCUGUGGGUUGGAAUAUAUGUGUAAUUGAUGACUACAUAUCUUAACAGUUGUGCUUAAGAAAUAAAUAAAAUAUAUAAAUAGGUCAGCUAAACUAUUAGAGUUUGCCUGUACAGAUGUACUUUUAUGUACAAAGAAUUGGUUCUUUCCAAAA